This 400-nucleotide ribosomal RNA is filed under the name uncultured bacterium. Its description in RNAcentral is "bacterial SSU rRNA". It matches the Rfam family "Bacterial small subunit ribosomal RNA", at positions 355 to 768 of the family's 1533-position model. The record is from RNAcentral.
UGGGGAAUUUUCCGCAAUGGGCGAAAGCCUGACGGAGCAAUACCGCGUGAGGGAGGAAGGCUCUUGGGUCGUAAACCUCUUUUCUCAGGGAAGAAGAAAGUGACGGUACCUGAGGAAUCAGCAUCGGCUAACUCCGUGCCAGCAGCCGCGGUAAUACGGAGGAUGCAAGCGUUAUCCGGAAUCAUUGGGCGUAAAGAGUCCGUAGGUGGCGCAUCAAGUCUGUCGUUAAAGAGCAGGGCUUAACCCUGGAAAGGCGGUGGAAACUGAUGAAGCUAGAGUACGGCAGGGGUAGAGGGAAUUCCCAGUGUAGCGGUGAAAUGCGUAGAGAUUGGGAAGAACACCGGUGGCGAAAGCGCUCUACUAGACCUGUACUGACACUGAGGGACGAAAGCUAGGGGAG